GAUGAACGCUGGCGGCGUGCCUAACACAUGCAAGUCGAACGGAGUCCAGCCUUAGAGCCCUUCGGGUCAAAGAGGGGAAGACUGAGUGGCGGACGGGUGAGUAACACGUGGGCAACCUGGCUCAUAGAGGGGGAUAACAGAGAGAAAUUUCUGCUAAUACCGCAUAAGCACACACUGCCGCAUGGCAGAGUGUGAAAAGAGAAUCGCUAUGAGAUGGACCCGCGUCUGAUUAGCCAGUUGGCAGGGUAAGAGCCUACCAAAGCGACGAUCAGUAGCCGAUUUGAGAGGAUGAACGGCCACAUUGGGACUGAGACACGGCCCAAACUCCUACGGGAGGCAGCAGUGGGGGAUAUUGCACAAUGGGGGGAACCCUGAUGCAGCGACGCCGCGUGAGUGAAGAAGUAUUUCGGGAUGUAAAGCUCUAUCAGCAGGGAAGAUAAUGACAGUACCUGAAGAAGAAGCCCCGGCUAACUACGUG
RNAcentral lists this ribosomal RNA (478 nucleotides) under uncultured bacterium. RNAcentral's name for it is "partial 16S ribosomal RNA". It matches the Rfam family "Bacterial small subunit ribosomal RNA", at positions 28 to 507 of the family's 1533-position model. The record is from RNAcentral.